GACACUUCUUCUUCCACAUAUUUUGUGCUGGCUCAAGCAAAAGUGCUCACCACAAGCUAUCGUGUCUGAGGAUGAAGUCUCGAGGCGAUCGAUCGAAGUCAUGUCUUUUUCUGUUUUCAAAUACCUCCCAACCCCUAUUCCCACUUUUCUCUAUUGUAUUCCUACGAGGUGAAAGGAGAGCUCACCCCUGGCUUUCAUUCAAUUCCUUUCUCCUUGGUCCUCAAAAGAGGCUUUUUAGGGUUUGAAAGGACCAUCUCCUCUACUAUAAAUUCUGAAUGGUAAGUUCUUCUUUUCUUAAUGAAAGUUCAGUAGAUUAUAUCUAGGGCUUAUUGGACAUUAAUGUAUUUUCUGUUAUGUUCUAGAAUGUUGCUUUGUCAAAAUUAUUUACUCCUAUAAUUAUUUUGCCAUAGAUUUUCUAUGUUUACAAUUGCUUUGUUGUUUCAGUUUUCUAGACAAAAUAUUAAUAUUUUGGGUGUUAUAUAUAUAGUCAUUUUUUUGUAACUAAAUGAUGAAGAAAUUAGUGGAAUACAAAAAAUUAUAGAAAUCUUUUCUCCUAAAGCUCUGCUAUAGUAAUUUAAUCUGCAAAAAAUUUUAUUUCAUAUUUUCUUUUCUGAUGUUUAACCAACAAAAGUGGUAUCAAAGUCAUGGCUUCCUUGUCAAACCAAAACAACAAUACUUCUUUCUCAAUUAUUCUAAUUUUUUUCGGAGAAAAUUAUGAGUUUUGGAAGGUGAAAAUGAGGACACUUCUUCUGUCAGAAGGGCUAUGGAGUAUUGUUACCAAAGGAUUCAAUGAACUAGAAAAUGAAGAUGAGUUAUUAGGAGAAGAAGAGAAACUUGAGGAGAACAGAAUGAAAGAUGCCAAAACUCUUUCCACGAUUCAAAAUGGGGUCUCUCCUGCCAUUUUUUUCAGGAUUAUUUGAGUACAAACAUCAAAGAGGCAUGAGAGAUUUUGCAAAGAGAAUUUCAAGGAGAUAAUUGAGCUAUAGCUAUCAAACUUCAAAAUUUACAAAGAGAGUUUGAGAAUCUGAAGAUGAAGGAGUCUAAAUCUGUCAAAGGCUAUUUCUCAAGCAUCAUUAAAAUUGUAAAUCAGAUAAGAAUUUAUGAAGAGAAUAUAUCAGAUCAGAAAGUGGUUGAAAAGAUUCUAAUCAGCAUGCCAGAAAAAUAUGAUGCUAUAGUGGCUGCAAUUGAAAAGUCAAAAGAUCUGUCUACCUUAACAAUUGAACAGUUGAUGGGUUCUUUAGAAUCUCAUGAGCAGAUAAGGCUGAGACGAGAAGAUCAAGCUAUGGAAAAUGCUUUCCAAUCAAAACUUAUGCUAAAGCAAUACAAAAAUUAAAAAAAGAUGAUCAAAAUAAAGGAGACCAGAAGAAGUGGAAGAAAUUUGACUCAAACAACAAAGAAGACAGCAAGAGAGAAAAAGGUUCAUCUUCUAAUAGCUCAAAACUUUUUUGCAAAAUUUGUAAAAGAAUAAACCGUGAUAAUUCAAGUUGCUGGCAUCGUGGAAAGCCUCAAUGCUACAAUUGCAAAAAAAUUUGAGCAUAUUGAGAAAAAAUUAUAGAUUCAAGGUUGAAAGUCAUACUAACUUUUUUGAGCAAAAAGUUGAAGAAGAUGCUGAUGAUGAGAAUCUCUUCUAUGCUAACCAAUCUGAUUCACAACAUGAUGAAGAUACUUGGUAUCUUGACAGUGGUUGUAGUAAUCACAUGACAGAAAAUAAGAAAAUAUUUCUUGAUCUUGAUACUACAAUCACAUCUAAGGUAUGGUUAGAAAAUGUAGUAAUAGAAUUUAAAGGCAUAGAAAAAGUUGCUGUCAAAAUCAAGAAAGGAACCAAGUUUAUUUGUGAUGUUUUAUUGGUUCUUGAAUUAAAUCAGAACUUAUUGAGUGUUGGCCAGCUUAUGGAAAAUCGCUUUGUUUCUGAAGAAAGCUACUACACAAUUUAUAAUCAAAGAGAUAAGAAUUUGAUGAUUGCAUCAGUAAAAAUGAAGAAAAACAAAAAUUUUUCUAUGCAAUUUAACCAUGGGGCUACAUUAGCCUUAAAGUCCACAAUUGUGCAUGAUACUUGGCUAUAGCACAAGAGGUUUUGCCAUCUCAACUUGCAUGGCUUGAAUCUACUGCAACAGAAAAAUAUGGUAAAAGGACUAUUUGAGAUAAAGUCUAAUUUGGAGUCAUGUAAAAGCUGCAUUAUAGGCAAACAACAUCGGUUGUUAUUUUCAAAGCAUGGAGCUUGGAGAGCAAAAGCACCUUUGGAGCUGAUUCACACCGAUAUCUAUGGCCAAAUGAAAACUUUUUCUCGAAAUUAGCAUAGGUAUUUUCUUACCUUCAUUGAUGAUUAUUCAAGGAUGACAUAGGUUUAUUUUUUAAAGAAGAAGUCAAAAGUCUUCAUCAUUUUUAAGAAUUUUAAAGCCUUUGAGGAGAAGCUAAGUGGCCAUCGUAUUAAAACUAUUCGAAGUGAUAGAGGAGGAAAAUUCACUUCAGAAAAAUUUGAAGAAUUUUGUAAAGAAGAGAAGAUUUUGAAGCAAUUGAUAGUGGCAUAUAGUCCAUAACAGAAUAGCAUAUAGAAAGAAAAAAUCAUAUGAUUAUAGAGAUGGCAAGGUCAAUGUUGAAUGAAAAAGGAUUGCCCAAAAGUUUUUAGGCAGAGGCUAUUCAUACAGCUGUAUACAUUCUCAACAGGUGUCCUACGAAGGUUGUGAAGAAUAGGAUUCCAUUUGAGGCAUGGAUUGAUGUAAAACCUUCUGUGCAAUAUAUGAAAGUAUUGCCAGCAUUUGUUAUGCCCAUAUUCUAGCUGAGAAAAGAUCAAAGCUCGAUGAGAAAAGUAAGAAAUGUGUGUUUAUUGGCUAUAGCUCAGACUCAAAAUGCUAUAGGCUAUAUGAUGUUAAAGUUGAAAAAUUGAUAAUCAGUAGAGAUGUGAUUCUUAAUGAAGAACAGGCUUUGGAUUGGAAAGAAAAGAAGCUGCCAGAAUCUUCUAUUGUAAUUUCUCAAGAGUUUCCNNNNNNNNNNNNNNNNNNNNAAGAGGAUCAGAGGUUCAAGAAGAUCCAUCUCCGUUUUUAUCUCCUACACAUUCUGGUUUGGAGCUAACACCAUCUUCAUCAGAGUCUUCUCCAAGCAAAAUCACAAGAUUGAGUGAAAUAUAUACUUCAUGUAAUUUUUUAGCAACAGAAUCAGGAACUUUUGAAGAAGCUCAAAGGGAGAAAUUGUGGAUAAAGCAUGGAUGAGAAAAUUCAUAUGAUAAAAAAGAACAAGACUUGGGAGCUUGUUAAUUAGUCUAAAGCAAAAGAAGUUGUUAGUAUUAAGUGGAUUUAUAGGACAAAAUUUGAUCAAGAUGGAGACAUCCAAAAGCACAAAGCGAGGCUAGUUGCAAGAGGAUUUACCCAAAAGCCUGGUGUUGUUUUUCAAGAAAUUUUUUUACCCAUUGUAAGGUUUGAGACUAAGAACUCUAAUCAUGAUUGUUGCUCAAAGGGACUGGAAUAUUUUUUAGCUUAAUGUAAAGUCAGCAUUUCCAAAUGGAGUGCUAGAAGAUGAAGUAUAUGUAGAGCAACCUCAAGGUUAUAUAGUAGAAGGGACAGAAAAUAAGGUAUAUAAACUGGAAAAGACUCUUUAUGGGCUGAAACAAGCACCUCGUGCUUAGUAUGUUGAAGUUGACAAGUAUUUUAUCACAAGAGGAUUCAAAAAAGUAACCGUUAGCCUACUCUUUAUAUUUUUAAAAAAAGAUAGCUCAACUCUUAUUAUAUCACUUUAUGUGGAUGAUUUAAUUUUUACCAGCAAUGAUGAAGAUUUAAUACAGAGAUUUAAAAGAGAUAUGAUGGAGUCUUAUGAAAUGAAUGAUUUGGGCUUGCUUUAUUAUUUUUUUAGAAUUGAAGUAUCUCAAAUAGAAGAAGGGAUCUUCAUUUCUCAAAAAAAAUAUGCUGAAAAUAUUCUAAAGAAGUUUAAUUUAUUUGGAUGCAAGCCCGUUGCUGCUCCUCUUGUUAUAAAUAAAAAGUUGAAGAAGAAAGAUGGUUCAAAGAAGGUAGAUGCAGCCAAGUACAAAAGCUUGAAUAGCAGUUUUUAGUAUCUUAUAGCAAUCCGACCUAACAUAAUAUUUGCUAUAAGUUUAUUAUCUCGAUAUAUGUAAGAACCUACUCAGAUUCAUUUUGCUACAGUAAAGAAAGUAUUGAGAUAUUUGUAGAGGACAAUUGAUUAUAACAUCAUGUACAAAAGUGCAGAAUUUAUGAACUUGGUGGGAUAUACAGAUAGUGACUGGGCUGGCUAUUUGGAUGAUAUGAAGUGCACAUCAGUUUAUAUUUUUUUUCUUUGAUUCAAGCAGUGUCUCAUAGACUUCUAAGAAGUAAAGGUGUGUUGCUCAAUCUUCUGUUGAAGCAGAAUAUGUGGCAGCAGCAAAGGCAACUUCUCAAGCUACAUGGCUUUGAAGAAUGCUGAAGAAAAUUGGAGAAAAACAAGAAGAAGAAACUAUUUUGUAUUGUAAUAAUAAGUCAGUAAUUACCGUUGAAAAGAAUUAGUGAGUCAUGAUUGUAUAAAACAUGUUGCCAUCAAAUAUUAUUUUAUUAGAAAAGCU
RNAcentral lists this long non-coding RNA (4543 nucleotides) under Elaeis guineensis (African oil palm). RNAcentral's name for it is "long non-coding RNA (EGUI_LNC039158)". The record is from RNAcentral. Lineage: Eukaryota; Viridiplantae; Streptophyta; Magnoliopsida; Arecales; Arecaceae.